Molecule: ribosomal RNA, 449 nt
Filed under: uncultured bacterium
Lineage: Bacteria
Description: partial 16S ribosomal RNA
Rfam family: Bacterial small subunit ribosomal RNA
Source: RNAcentral
GAUGAACGCUGGCGGCGUGCCUAACACAUGCAAGUCGAACGAGAUCUUCGGAUCUAGUGGCAGACGGGUGAGGAACACGUGGGAACAUCCCUUUCAGUUCGGAAUAACGUUGGGAAACUAACGCUAAUACCGGAUACGUCCUUCGGGAGAAAGAUUUAUCGCUGAAAGAUUGGCCCGCGUCUGAUUAGCUAGUUGGUGAGGUAAUGGCUCACCAAGGCUACGAUCAGUAGCUGAUCUGAGAGGAUGAUCAGCCACAUUGGGACUGAGACACGGCCCAAACUCCUACGGGAGGCAGCAGUGGGGAAUAUUGGACAAUGGGCGCAAGCCUGAUCCAGCCAUGCCGCGUGAGUGAUGAAGGCCUUCGGGUUGUAAAGCUCUUUUAUCCGGGAAGAUAAUGACUGUACCGGAAGAAUAAGCCCCGGCAAACUUCGUGCCAGCAGCAGCCGCGG